AAACAAAUGAGUUUGAUCCUGGCUCUACUAGAACGCGUGCAUUAUGUUUAACACAUGCUAAUCAACACAUUCUGAUUUUAUUUCAUUUGAAAAAAAUCAGAAGUGUGGUGUCAUGGUGAGUAACACAUUAGCGGCUACCCUAUAAUACCAUUAAAAAUGGAAUAAAAAAAUAUAACUUGUUAUAGGAUGUGCUGAUGCAGUAUUAGGUUGUUGGGCUGGUGAAAGCAGCCCAAGCCUUUGAUGCUUAGCCUCCCUCAGCGGGGGAAAGGCCACAGUGGAACUGAAAUUAAGGUUCACCCCAUAUGGCAGCAGUGAAGAAUCUUUGACAAUAAGCGAAAGCUUGAUCGAGCAUUAAUGCAUGAGUGACAAAGAAGUACUCUUUGCAAUCAGGGAAAGCCGCCGAGUUGUAAAACUCUCAUACUUUGGUAAAAAUUGAUAUUUCCAAAGAUAUAGCCCCGACCAACUCUGUGCCAGCAGUCGCGGUAAGACAGAGGGGGCGAGCGUUUAGUAUAUUGACUGGGCUUAAAGUGCGCUAAGGUUGUUUACAAAAAUAAGCUUUAAUGCCUACAUUGUAGGAACAGAAAGUGUUAUAUUUAUAAGCUAGAGUUUAUAUCAGGAAAGUAGAAUUCCUCGUGUAAUGGUUAAAUGUGUAAAGAUGAGGAGGAAUGCCGACGGCGAAGGCAGCUUUCUAGAAUAAUACUGACGCUAAAGCGCGGAAGCGUGGGGAGCGAAGAGGAUUAGAGACCCUCGUAGUCCACGCCGUCAACGAUGAGUGUAGAACUUUUUUAUAAUAAAAGUUGUAGCUAAAGCAAAAACACUCCGCCUGGGGAGUACUGCGGCAACGCAUAAACUCAAAGGAAUAACCAGCAGAAAAGUUCGCGGUGGAACAUGCUAUUUAAUUUAAAAAUACGUGAAAAACCUUACCACCUCUUGUAUGCAGACUAAUCCAUAUAUAAGACUUUUUUUUACAAUAGCUCAAGCUAUUAGUUAUAUUAAUUACUAUUAACUCAAAUGUAAUAUGCUCGAUCCCUUAUGUAGAACUCGAAAGCUAACACAUUUAAGGCUGUAUGUACUUAGUUUAUUCUAUUGGAGACGCAGUUUAGUUUUUUUUUUCCAAAGUUAUAAUCUUUUAAAAGAUUAUUUUACAAAACAAAAUCACUAGAUAGAAUUUUUUAAAAGAAAAAAAACUACGCUUUUUUUUUGCUUUUAUACUUACUUCUUUUUUAGACUGCACAGGUGCUGCAUGGUUGUUGUCAGUUCGUGGCGUAUAGCCGUUUAGGUUCAUUCCUAGUAACGAGCGAAACCUUCCCAUAAUGUUAAAAACCAUUUUGUACAUAUUUAGAUGUGUACAAAAUGGGUAUUUAUAUACCUAUUUAUUCAAUCAAAUAGUUAUAAAAAUACACGGUACUUUGUGGAAUAGCAGAUUAAACCCUGCUAAUCUCUUUUUUAUUAAAGAGUUGGAGACGAAAUCAAAUCAUCAUGGCCCAAAUGGGGUGGGCUAUAAGUGUGUGACAUUGGAUUCUAUAGUAAGGAAGCAAUGGUGCUAAGCCAGAGCAAACCCUCAAAAGAAUUUUUAGUUCAGAUUGUUCUCUGCAACUCGAGAACAUGAAGGAGGAAUCGCGAGUAAUCGCGAAUUAGCACGUCGCGGUGAAAAUCAUUAUAAUUUUCUGGGGAUUCUUUGCCCAUCAUAGGACGAAAAUUGAGUAGGUUCGAAAAUAGAAAUGGCAUGUUUUAGUUUUAAAAAUCACUAUAAAAGUUAUAGUAUGUCUUUAAUUAAAAUAUGUCUGUUUUUAGAUAAAGCAAGCUUAGUAAUCAUUCUAAAGUUGUAACAAGGUAACUGUACGGGAACGUGUAGUUGAAUCGUUUUAUAC
This 1871-nucleotide ribosomal RNA is filed under the name Stigeoclonium helveticum. RNAcentral's name for it is "small subunit ribosomal RNA". It matches the Rfam family "Bacterial small subunit ribosomal RNA". Lineage: Eukaryota; Viridiplantae; Chlorophyta; Chlorophyceae; Chaetophorales; Chaetophoraceae. The record is from RNAcentral.